This 1298-nucleotide long non-coding RNA is filed under the name Phasianus colchicus (ring-necked pheasant). RNAcentral's name for it is "lncRNA (ENSPCLG00000002027.1)". The record is from RNAcentral. Lineage: Eukaryota; Metazoa; Chordata; Aves; Galliformes; Phasianidae.
GUUGGCACUAAAGCUAAAACAGCUGGCCAGAAUCUCUCUGCUUGUUUUUGUGUUCAUCUCUGCACUCCGUUACACAAGGCAGCUGGAGCAGCCAGUAGCUCAACAUCCGACCACUUGCUGAGAUCCAUCUUUCAUUUAUUUUAUCUUCUUGCCUGUGUCUACGUCUAAUGACGUGGUAGGCUGAAGAAAGAAAGUUGAGAAGGUCAGCCUAUUGUGUUGCCUCUCUAGAGCUGUGUAUUUGCCCUUCCUGAGUCUGUUUAUCCUUUGAAUCAUUUGACAUACUGCACAUUCUGCUCUGACCUUCAGCCUGUUGCUGACUUCAUCCCGUUGCCUAAAGGCCGUGAUUCUGCAAUACAUAAAACUAACUUUAGGGAAUCUCAUCCUGGAUUAAAAUCCCCAUGCCUGAAAUCUCUGGUCCAGUUUAACAUCAUGUUUUUGAAUGAAUGUAGCUCACAUCUCUUUGACAGUUUAACUGCUUUCUGGCAAGCAGUCCUCUUAACUUGUGCCCCUACCAGCAUCUGAUUAAACCUUGGCUGGUCACCACAUUGGAAAAUCUGACUGUGCAGACAGUCACACAGAGCCAUGGAGUCGAUCAUGGUUAGUUCCUCUCAGAGCUCAGCCAAGCUGUUACAUCCACGCCCUUUUAAAACAGUCCCCUAAGAGAAAUCCAAAUGAAUGUACAGUCUGGCUGUGGAGGUUGAAUGUUGUAGCCAAGGUUACGUUUAUUGGCAUGAUCCUUUGAGGAUUUUUUUUUUUUUUUUCUCUCUCAGGUGUUAUAUUCCGUGUCAGAGGUCUGAAGCAGAGAAAUGGAUGCUGCCUGAAGGGCAGAGAGAGCUUCUUCCCAAGCAGCUGGCAGGAGGAUGCUGUGGCUUUGCCAUCUGUUUCUUCACUGCCUGCUGGAAUUCUUCUCUCACUGGAUGUGCCAUCACCAUCUAAUCAAGACAUGGAAGUGGUUACUGUUAAAGGGGCUGUCAUGAAAACUCUUCUGCCUGAAGAGUUGUCAGAAGCUGUUGCAACGACUAUUCUUCAGCUGCUGGUUCUCAGUGUUUUUUCCACACCUUUGUUGUCUUGCUGAUCUAUGAACAAUUGUGUGUAACUGCUGAUGUUCAGGUGAACUGUUGUGCAACACUUAGGUAGACCAUGAAAGCAUAAGAUAAUCUCCUAUUUUUUUAAGCCUUAUAGCAGUUUACUACUACAGUUUAGAAUGACUUACCUGCCAGCAGGCCAUUUGGUGAUGCUGAAUAUGCCCUCCAUUUGCUCCUUCAUAAAAAUAAAGUAUGAACAUUCAUCUUUGGGCA